AGAGAGGUUCUCCGAGCUGCAUAGAGCAGCUGUGUAGGAAGCAGCCAGUCAGGGCCCAGCAGGCUAGUGUAAGAAGAGCUGCAGGGCCACACUGAACAGUUUCUUGCGAGAGGUGGAUACGAGUGGAUGGUGCUCCAGGCUAGCUGCUGGGACUCCACAAGGAGAAGGCCCUGAGACAGACUGUGUAUGACUUGGCCGGAGGGCACAGUCACCGAAGACCCACCAUAAGGAGAGAGACAGAGACAGAGAAUGCAGGCACGUGCACUCGGCCAGGAGGCACUUGCAAGGGGAUGCUCACCCAAAACCUGAUCCAAACCUCUUGGAAGCCAGUGAAAAGACAUCCACUGAUUACUAUGUCAUGGGAUCAGGCCUUAAAUGAGG
Mauremys mutica (yellowpond turtle) is the source of this 381-nucleotide long non-coding RNA. RefSeq lists it as uncharacterized. The transcript has 3 exons. The record is from RefSeq and is a predicted model, not a curated record. Lineage: Eukaryota; Metazoa; Chordata; Testudines; Geoemydidae.